GACGAACGCUGGCGGCGUGCUUAACACAUGCAAGUCGAACGGAAAGGCCCUGCUUUUGUGGGGUGCUCGAGUGGCGAACGGGUGAGUAACACGUGAGUAACCUGCCCUUGACUUUGGGAUAACUUCAGGAAACUGGGGCUAAUACCGGAUAGGAGCUCCUGCUGCAUGGUGGGGGCUGGAAAGUUUCGGCGGUUGGGGAUGGACUCGCGGCUUAUCAGCUUGUUGGUGGGGUAGUGGCUUACCAAGGCUUUGACGGGUAGCCGGCCUGAGAGGGUGACCGGCCACAUUUGGACUGAGUUACGGCCCAGACUCCUAUAGUAGGCAGCAGUGGGGAAUAUUGCACUAUGGGCGGAAGCCUGAUGCUGCAACGCCGCGUGCGGGAUGCCGGCCUUCGGGUUGUAAACCGCUUUCGCCUGUGACGAAGCGUGAGUGACGGUGAUGGGUAUAGAAGCACCGGCUAACUACGUG
RNAcentral lists this ribosomal RNA (468 nucleotides) under uncultured bacterium. RNAcentral's name for it is "partial 16S ribosomal RNA". It matches the Rfam family "Bacterial small subunit ribosomal RNA", at positions 28 to 507 of the family's 1533-position model. The record is from RNAcentral.